UCGUCGGUGAUGAUUUUGUCCUGAAGUUUGCUUGAUUUCAUCUCGAAACAUGAAGGCAACUCUAGUCACUACCUCUUCUGAGACGU
Molecule: small nucleolar RNA, 86 nt
Filed under: Podarcis muralis (Common wall lizard)
Lineage: Eukaryota; Metazoa; Chordata; Lepidosauria; Squamata; Lacertidae
Description: Small nucleolar RNA SNORD11 (ENSPMRG00000006806.1)
Rfam family: Small nucleolar RNA SNORD11
Source: Rfam by way of RNAcentral